RNAcentral lists this ribosomal RNA (814 nucleotides) under uncultured bacterium. RNAcentral's name for it is "bacterial SSU rRNA". It matches the Rfam family "Bacterial small subunit ribosomal RNA", at positions 42 to 854 of the family's 1533-position model. The record is from RNAcentral.
GCGUGCCUAAUACAUGCAAGUCGAACGAAUCUCUUUUAGAGAUGAGUGGCGAACGGGUGAGUAAUACAUAGGUAACCUGCCCCUGUGCGGGGGAUAACAGGAGGAAACUCCUGCUAAUACCGCAUAGCCAUGAGCACCGCAUGGAGCUCAUGCCAAAUAUCCUUUAUGGGAUAGCGCAGGGAUGGACCUAUGGCGCAUUAGCUUGUUGGCGGGGCAACGGCCCACCAAGGCAACGAUGCGUAGCCGGCCUGAGAGGGCGGACGGCCACAUUGGGACUGAGACACGGCCCAGACUCCUACGGGAGGCAGCAGUAGGGAAUUUUCGGCAAUGGGGGAAACCCUGACCGAGCAACGCCGCGUGAGCGAAGAAGGCCUUCGGGUCGUAAAGCUCUGUUGUAAAGGAAGAACGGCGCAUACAGGAAAUGGUAUGCGAGUGACGGUACUUUACCAGAAAGCCACGGCUAACUACGUGCCAGCAGCCGCGGUAAUACGUAGGUGGCGAGCGUUAUCCGGAAUCAUUGGGCGUAAAGAGGGAGCAGGCGGCCGCAAGGGUCUGUGGUGAAAGACCGAAGCUAAACUUCGGUAAGCCAUGGAAACCGGGCGGCUAGAGUGCGGAAGAGGAUCGUGGAAUUCCAUGUGUAGCGGUGAAAUGCGUAGAUAUAUGGAGGAACACCAGUGGCGAAGGCGACGGUCUGGGCCGCAACUGACGCUCAUUCCCGAAAGCGUGGGGAGCAAAUAGGAUUAGAUACCCUAGUAGUCCACGCCGUAAACGAUGGUCACUAAGUGUCGGGGGUCAAACCCCGGUGCUGCAGUCA